CUGGCAGAUGGCUAAACCAGCAGGAUUACAAAGGUCAGGGAAGAGUUGCAGACUUCGUUGGGUGAAUUACUUAAGGCUUGGAAUUAAACAUGGGAAUUUCACUAAGGAAGAAGAGCAAGCAAUAAUUGAUUUACAUGAAAAGCUUGGAACAGGUGGUCAGCGAUCGCAUCAAAAUUGCCCGGAAGAAACUGAUAUGAGAUUAAAAACCAUUGGCUUGCUCAUUUAAGAAGACGUUUCAAGUACGAUCUGAAUUCAUUGCCGGAGAGUGAACCUUGCCAGCCAUCCAAUGCUGAAACAGACCAAAAUAUCUCAUUCAGAAUUGAUCUCCCAGUACCCAAUGUUCCAAGACCAUCGAUUUUGGAAAGCUUAGGUUCUAUUUCUACCGACAGAUUACCUUCAUCGAGCUCGAAUCCACCGUUCGAAAUCGAAGAAAAGCCAACAUCAAGGAUCCAUUGGUUCUUUGGACAACUUCAAAGCAUAAUAGGGUAUUGGUUCAUUGUUUUCAGCAGCAGCCAGCUCUCUGCUGGCGUUUGUUCCUGUAUAUACCAGGGUAAUUCCUACAAUGAUGUUAGGCACGACUAAA
This is a long non-coding RNA of Hibiscus syriacus, 583 nucleotides long. RefSeq lists it as uncharacterized. Lineage: Eukaryota; Viridiplantae; Streptophyta; Magnoliopsida; Malvales; Malvaceae. The transcript is spliced from 3 exons. The record is from RefSeq and is a predicted model, not a curated record.